This 460-nucleotide ribosomal RNA is filed under the name uncultured bacterium. RNAcentral's name for it is "partial 16S ribosomal RNA". It matches the Rfam family "Bacterial small subunit ribosomal RNA", at positions 338 to 795 of the family's 1533-position model. The record is from RNAcentral.
CCUACGGGGGGCAGCAGUGAGGAAUAUUGGUCAAUGGACGAGAGUCUGAACCAGCCAAGUAGCGUGAAGGAUGACUGCCCUAUGGGUUGUAAACUUCUUUUAUAUGGGAAUAAAAUGUUCCACGUGUGGGAUUUUGUAUGUACCAUAUGAAUAAGGAUCGGCUAACUCCGUGCCAGCAGCCGCGGUAAUACGGAGGAUCCGAGCGUUAUCCGGAUUUAUUGGGUUUAAAGGGAGCGUAGGUGGAUUGUUAAGUCAGUUGUGAAAGUUUGCGGCUCAACCAUAAAAUUGCAGUUGAAACUGGCAGUCUUGAGUACAGUAGAGGUGGGCGGAAUUCGUGGUGUAGCGGUGAAAUGCUUAGAUAUCACGAAGAACUCCGAUUGCGAAGGCAGUUCACUGGACUGCAACUGACACUGAGGCUCGAAAGUGUGGGUAUCAAACAGGAUUAGAUACCCGAGUAGUC